AGAGUUUGAUCCUGGCUCAGAACGAACGUUGGCGGCGUGGAUUAGGCAUGCAAGUCGAGCGGGAUCUACUUAAUUCAAUUCUUCGGAAAAGAAAUUUGUAGUGAGAGCGGCGAACUGGUGAGUAAUACAUGGGCAAUCUGCCCUUAAGUUCGGAAUAGCCAUUGGAAACGAUGGGUAAUGCCGAAUGUGAUCGACCAUCACAUGGUGGUCUGUUUAAAGGAGGGGAUCUUCGGACCUUUCGCUUAAGGAUGAGCCCGUGGCCUAUCAGCUUGUUGGUGAGGUAAUGGCUCACCAAGGCUUACGGGUAGCCGGCCUGAGAGGGUGACCGGCCACACUGGGACUGAGACACUGCCCAGACUCCUACGGGAGGCUGCAGUCGAGAAUCAUUGACAAUGCACGAAAGUGUGAUCAUGCGACGCCGCGUGGAGGAAGACGGCCUUCGGGGUGUAAACUGCUGUCAGGUUCAGCAACACAAUGAGCAGACCCAAAGGAAGGGCCGGCUA
RNAcentral lists this ribosomal RNA (503 nucleotides) under uncultured bacterium. RNAcentral's name for it is "bacterial SSU rRNA". It matches the Rfam family "Bacterial small subunit ribosomal RNA", at positions 8 to 499 of the family's 1533-position model. The record is from RNAcentral.